Molecule: ribosomal RNA, 440 nt
Filed under: uncultured bacterium
Lineage: Bacteria
Description: partial 16S ribosomal RNA
Rfam family: Bacterial small subunit ribosomal RNA
Source: RNAcentral
CUACGGGUUGCUCCAGUCGAGAAUCUUCCGCAAUGGGCGCAAGCCUGACGGAGCAAUGCCGCGUGAGUGAUGAAGGCCUUCGGGUUGUAAAACUCUGUCAGAGGGGACGAAAUUUGACGGUACCCUCAGAGGAAGCCACGGCUAACUACGUGCCAGCAGCCGCGGUAAUCCGUAGGUGGCGAGCGUUAUUCGGAUUUACUGGGCGUAAAGGGUUCGUAGGGGGUUUGCCAAGUCUGAUGUGAAAUUCCGCGGCUCAACCGCGGACGUGCAUUGGAUACUGUCGAACUAGAGUUCCUGAUGGGAAAGCGGAAUUCCAGGUGUAGCGGUGGAAUGCGUAGAUAUCUGGAAGAACACCGGUGGCGAAGGCGGCUUUCUGGCAGGAUACUGACCCUCAUGGACGAAAGCGUGGGUAGCGAACAGGAUUAGAUACCCGAGUAGUC